Long non-coding RNA from Oryzias melastigma (Indian medaka), 404 nucleotides. RefSeq lists it as uncharacterized. The transcript is spliced from 3 exons. The record is from RefSeq and is a predicted model, not a curated record. Lineage: Eukaryota; Metazoa; Chordata; Actinopteri; Beloniformes; Adrianichthyidae.
CCGGCGUCUUUGAGCUCACCCAGUUCUCCAACUGAUGGCAUGGCAGCAGCUUUGAGAAACAGUAACAGAAUGAGCAGAAACAGCUGAGAUUGCUCUUAAAAGCCCUUCACUGAAGUGAGGAAAUUAACCCCAAAGCAAAGUCAACCCAACGAUUGGAACGAUUCACUAGGAACAAAUAUGGGAAAUCCUGGUUUCUUAACACGGGCCUCAAACUCUUCCACAUCUUGCCCUGAACAAUCAACUACAACCUAUGGAGCUUUUCCAGAUGAUUACAGAGCAGAUAUUACAGGACAUUGACAGAUCUGCUGGAUGCUGGCAUCAGCUUCUUUAGCCUGACCGGGUCCUCCUACUAUUGGCAUGGGACCAACUUUGUAAUAAAACAGUCAGAGAAAUGAACAAAUAUG